CAGAACUGUUCCCAGGGCUCUUCCUGACUCCACCCUGCUUCUGAUGCUUCUCUUUAGGUAUCUAAGUGAACCAAGAUGCAAUGUGCUUCCUCCAUUCCCCUCUGCUGUGUGGGAACUAUGGCUUCUGGAUGGAUGAAGAUAAAGCUGGGCUGAAGGCGUGGUGUGAGGGGGAGGGGAUGGCAGGGGACAUCUGCGGAAAGACAGGACUCUGGCACCUCUACCUAACUUGGAAGAUAUUGGAAGAGAGACAGCCUGUUUUUCUAGUACUUGUCCCUGUGUCUCGAAGACAGGGGCAUCAGCAGGAAGGAGCCACAGGAAGAUUAAGAAGGAGAAAAGGUGAGGGAAUCAAGUACCAGAGAAAUUGAUGGAAAGACAACGCUGCUGCCCUUCUCUUCUCAAAUGGGAUGGAUGUGAGGAGCUGGGGGUGGGGAGAGAGAAAAAAAAAUUGAGGACUGCUGCCUGCCACUCUUCUCGCUCAAAGGAAAAUCAUGCUCGGAAGACAUGGGACCCAAAAGGGCCACUGGAUCUUCUCCUAUGGUGCCUGUCUCUUUUAAACAGGAGGCAGCAGCCCCUCUCCUGGUCUCCAUCACUCAGUCUUGGACCAUCAGGAGCCACUGAGGCCUCCCAAGCAGAGUGGCAACUAUGCUGGGUGGGAACGUGACCUGCUGUUAAAGGCCCACAGUCAUUAGAAUUCUGUAAGAACAUACCCUGGUAGCCAGAGGGCCUGGUUUGGUGUCCGGACCCCAACAUGUCACGUUGCUCUGCCUAGCUGUGUGAGAUGGGGCUGGUGUGCAGCUGUCUUCUGCUGGUCCUUCUAGAUUCAUUUUUCCUCCUGCUCCACCUUUUUUCUGCCAUAGAGGCAGACCUCUGAGGGCCUCAUCCAUGGGCUCCUGCCCUCCAAGUCCGGCUGGUGGGGAUCCCAGUAGAUAGGAGGGAGAAACAGCAAGAGGCUGCUGGAGGCUGGCUGGAACUGGGGCAGGGACGCUCGUGCGCUUCCCCGAAGUCUCUCUUUUUAGGUCCUUUGCUGCUGCUAGCCCCAGGUCCUUGCAGUACCCCCUCUGCUUCCCCCUACCCACCCAUGGCAUGUAUUUAGUGCCUUUGUGCAUAAACACCUCUCAAAUUAUCCUGAUUGAGGGUACUUCUUUCCACUGAGACAUCAACACUGGUACCUGAUGGAUAAGGCAAGUCUGAGUUUGCACCUGGCCCCUAUUCACAGUAAGGAUGUGAGAAAGUUACUUAACCUCUCUGAGCAUGGCUUGACUCAUCCCUAAGAUGGGGAUGGAUGAUACUGAAUCAUAGCAUUGUGAUAUAACCCGAACCAGGCACCUAAUUAAUACCCAUUUCUUUGUUUAUGAAAGUCUCAAGUUUAGGGGAAACAAAAAAAAAAGAUCAGUAAAAGGUAUAAAACAAAAGAAUGCAAUGAACACCAGAAUCAUCAUCAAACCAAGACAUUAAAAUACUUUCCUGCCAGUGGGACCGCAGCCAAGUAGUGCUAUUUGAUACAGCAUCCCUCUGUCCUGGUCAGAGGAGAGCCCUGCUCAGAACUGACUAUCCAUGGCAAGCAUUGAGUGUGGAGCACCCACUCCACAGCCCCCAGUCCUUUCGCUCAUGCUCCAACAUAGUCAUCCUGUAAAUAUUUGCUGAAUCACCUUCUGUGUGCCUUGCCCUGUGCUAGGUCCUGGGGAACCAUGGAUCACUCAGACACAGCACCAGACUUCAAGGUGCUCACAGCCACUUGGGGAAAUGAGCCCUAAAUUCCUAGCUUUGAUCAAACAAUAAAAUGCCACCAGGCAUAAAGGUGGGAAUGAUUAAUUCUGCUAUUGGCAUACGUGUGUGCAUGUGGGUGUGCUGGGAAGGGAGGUCUGGGAAGGCUCCUCCAAGGCCUUGAAAGAUGAGACUUCUGAAAACAGAAGAGCUCAGUGGGCAGAGGGAACCGGACGUGCAAAGGCACGGAGGCAGGAGAGAACACAGAGAAAUCUGCCAACAAGUCCCAGUGGCUGGAAUAUGGAGUCCAAAGUACUGAUGGCAGCAGGGAUUCCACUAGAAGUAAAGAUCAGUUUGCGAGAGGGAAAGGACCCGAAAAGCACUCUGAGAAAUUUGGCUUUGAUUCAGGAAGCAAAAAAGAAGUAGCAAGAAUUCUUCAUUCUGAGCGUUUUAGGGAGAAACGCUGGCACAAUAAAGUGUGCAAUUUUUGUAAUCAUCUGCCUUCUGAUAGUAAGGCCCUAUUCUCCUGGGUUGGCAGGAAAUUUGUUCACAGCUAUGUUUGAGACGACCCUCUUCCCAGCUCCCAUCCAGGACCUUGUAUGUUUUUGAGUCUUGCACAGACACAAGCCUCCAGGGGUCCCACAGAGCCAUGUUCUCACAGUCCGGCCACCUCCCCAGGGGCUGCCAUAGGGUGGGACUGGAUCCCACACUAUUUGUGCCAUUCACUGACCAGAGACCUCUCCCCAGGAUGGGGGUAAGCUUUCUCUUGUCCUUCUUUGACCCUUAGAAUCCCUCUUUUCUCCACCUCCUCUACCCAAUCUGCCAUAAGCAUUUACUGAACACAGGAGGAAUCAUAGACUUCCAGCAGUUUUUGUUUACGUGCUGCGUGCAAAAAUUCCCCAAGGCAAGGAAAUACAAGAGCCUAAGGACUCGUUUGGAAUGUGCGAGAGGGCAAGCCCAGGGAGAGCUUCACAAAUGAAUAUGUCCAUGAAGCACACUGCCAGGCACACUUUCAAGGCUUUGAUGUUAUUACUACUAGGAUAGUCCACAUUCUGAGGCUGUCAAGUCAUUAUCUGGACAAUGUCAUCCCUCAAGGGCUUUUGGCAAAAGCUUUCAAAUAACUGAAGUGACAGUAAGAAUUUAUAACAUGAAAUUUAGAAUGAAUUAAUAGUCAUCGCACCUAAAAUAUGUCUCUAUCAGAUCAUGAACUUCUUCAGGGCAGAAUAUUCAUUGUAAUGGUCUUAGGCUUUAGAGUUUAAAUUUUCAUCUCUAAGUUACAAGACCUUGGGCACAUUUUUUUGAAUUCCCCAAGCCUCAGUUUUCUCAUCAAUGAAAUGGGGCUAUCCUUCUGGCAUUGUGAGGAUAACAGUACAUAAAAGGGUCUGGCAGAGAAAGGCAUCAAAUAAAUGCUGCCUGGAAGGAUGGAUGGAUGGAAGGGCAGGUGGACAGACAGAAGGACAUCUCAGCCCUUUGUUUUAUUGUGGUCAGGCAGUACCAGCAUCACAUGCCUCAGUGUGUUAUUUAAAUAUAUGUUUUCGGUCAUGACACCAGUGUGGGAACUUUGCACCUUGGAAUAACAUCUAAGCCUUUUGUGAGCUCUCAGUCAAGUGUAAGAAAAAGAAACAUAAAAAGAAACACUGAGGGUGCAGAGAGAAGAGGUGGGGGUUCAAUUACCUCAUUAUCAGGUGUAAGGACAGCACAUUCUUCCAUUCAUUAGCACCCACUUGUGCCUGCCAGGAGAAGGCCAAUCAGCUGCCAUUUGCUGGGGCUCCAACAGAAGAGGUGACCCCAGAGAUAGAAGAUUGGGUGCAGGUUGCAGAGGACCAAGGAAGAAAUUGUGGACUUGGACUUCCUUAAAGAUGCAAAGGUCUGGUCCCCAGGGGCCUUUGCAGGGUAGCCUGAAGAAGCUGGCAUAUCAUUUGGGCCAUUGUUAAUCAUAAUAAAGGUGCUCUUGAGGGCAAUGAGAAGUCACAGAAAUGGCAGGAAAGUAAAUCUACCCAAUGUGGUGGUGGACAAGUGGAGUAACUGUCCUGAGCAAGGAGUAGCAAUCUCCAGGGCCCACGGCUGAGUGAGCAGAGCAGAAAAGGAUUAAGAUAGAGAGGGCUCCACCGUGACAAGCUGUGCAGCCUAAACACUGCACGGUACAGGUUAUCAGGCUUUCCCUUUUUUCUGAAAAAAAGCAUAAAAUCUGGAUAUAUAUGCGAAAUUUCCCAGGUUUAAGUGUUGGCUAUGAUUUCAAACAUUUUCAAAACACCGUGUAGGUCAAACAAAGCACAAAGGCCAUUGGUGACUCUCAGGCUGCCAGUGUCUCAAUCAAACACCAAAUCCAGGACAUGAAGCAAGGGUGAUGUCAAGGUCAAAGCCAGGGUCAUUGUCGAAAAUCACAGUGGAAGAUGCCCUGCACCCACUGGAAAGAACUCCAGGGUCGGGAGCCAAGUUCAGAAUGUAAAAUGCACAUGACAUAAUAGGUGAUGGGGUUGUGAGAGGAGAUUUAGUGAAGAGCAACUUAUUUCUGGUAGAUCCUAUCUUGGCAUGAAGGUGUGUUCCAAGUGUACCUUUCUAGUCACCUUGCAGCCUGGGUCAAAUUUAUUGCCCUAAUAGGGCAAUGGAUUACCAUUUUGUAGAUGGUAAUAAUGAAGUUGUGGAGUGAUGACCAUUUUUAUAUAUGUAGAUUUUACCAUUUUUUUUAUUUCCCAAGGAUACAUAUUUAGAAGUAAAAUUACUAGUGCAUUUGAUUUAUGCUGUAAAUUGAUUUCCAAAAGGGCUGUACCUUGUGUCAGAAAUAGUGUUCACUAAAUACUUAAUAUACUCCCUUACAUUUCUAACCUCCUUGUAAUUAGUUUAGGGUCAUGUGAUUAGUUCUGGCCAAUGGACUAUGAGGGGAAAUGACACAUGUCUAACAUACACUUAAGAGAGGUGUUUCCAUGCCUCCCUUCUACCUAGCAAAGCAGAACUAAUAGCCAUACAUUAAGAUAGUAGCAUGGACCCCUGACUCACCAGAUGGAAGACAGCUACAACAAGCACCCAAUGGGCUUUGCAAGAGUGAAAAAUAAGCUUCUUUGUUAUGCCACUGAUAUUUUUAUGUUACUUGUUAUAGCGGCAUAGCCUAACUCAUCAUGAUUAACAUAUAUUGCUUUAUAAUACCAUCAGUAAUAAGUAUAAAUAUCAUUUACACUCUACCUUAGCAUUUGGCACCACCAUUAAAAACAUUUAUUUUUUAAAAAAAGAAAAAAUAAAACACAAAAUGUAUGCAUUUACACACACACACACAUACACACAUAUAUAUAUAUACACAUACAUAUAUACACAGGUAUAUACAGCUAUGGAAAAAGCUAUUCAUAUUGCUAGGAUAAUUUUUCUACCACUGUGUAAUGUCAUUAUCCAACACUCCAAAGACCCAUUCUCUCCCUUACAGAGAAGGAAAAUCAGGAGUGCUGUUAUUAAACUUAAAGGGAUUCAGACUUAAGGAAAAAAAUCCACUGAGUUCUAAGAUUGUGACUACUUUUAUAUACCUAAUUCUGGAUUGUUUAUAAAAUUCUGAAGGAGGAACAUUUUUUAAAUUUUAUUUUAUUUUAUUUUAAGUGCAGGAUGUGCAGGUUUGUUAAAUAGGUAGACGUGUGCCAUGGUAGUUUGCUGCACCUAUCAACCCAUUACCUAGGUAUUAAGCCCAGCAUGCAGUAGCUAUUUAUCCUGAUGUUCUCCCUCCCCCUACCCCACCCCCCGACAGGCUCCAGUGUGCAUUGUUCCGCUCCCUGUGUCCAUAUGUUCUCAUUGUUCAUCUCCCACUUACAAGUGAGGACAUGUGGUGGUUUUUUUCCUAUUCCUGUGUUAGUUUGCUGAGGAUAAUGGCUUCCAACUCCAUCCAUGUCCCUGUAAAGGACAUGAUCUCAUUCCUUUUUAUGGCUGCAUAGUAUGAUGGAGGAUAUUUUUAACAUGGGUUAAAUAAAACAUUAAUUAUUCCUAAAAUGAACAAAACUAUUUAUUUUAGCUUAUUUAAGGGAUGAAGUAGUGUUCCUAAGUUUUAUUUAAUCUUUCAUUUCUGAGAUCAUUUGCAAGGUUAAAUAUUUUUUAUGUUU
This 5780-nucleotide long non-coding RNA is filed under the name Homo sapiens (human). RNAcentral's name for it is "HSALNT0121101". Lineage: Eukaryota; Metazoa; Chordata; Mammalia; Primates; Hominidae. The record is from RNAcentral.